GGAUGUGAAGGUGAUCUGGCUGUGGCAUUUGUCACCCCAUUGAUCGAUCACCCCAAGGUUGAUUGGCUGAUCUGGCUGGCUAGGUGGGAGUCCCAUUCCUCCCUCACCACUCCAUGUGCAUCCCUCCCAAAGCUGUGCGCUCUGUCAAAGAGGACUGCCUUCCCCGAAAGGACCAGUCUUCGGUCAAGGGUAUACCAGUAGCUGUGCUCCCCUGCUAUACCCUCCAACCGAGCUCUCAAGGUCCACUGUAGGAGGACGUAGGGUAGUCAAGCUUCCAGACUCCAGACACAUCCACAUGAGGCGCUGCAUGUGGCAAUCUGCCUUUCUUU
This 329-nucleotide small nuclear RNA is filed under the name Mus caroli (Ryukyu mouse). Its description in RNAcentral is "sRNA (MGP_CAROLIEiJ_G0008601.1)". It matches the Rfam family "7SK RNA". Rfam says of the family: 7SK was discovered as an abundant small nuclear RNA in the mid-70s but a possible function has only recently been suggested. Two independent studies have found that 7SK RNA binds the CDK9/cyclin T complex (known as elongation factor P-TEFb). P-TEFb activates transcription by phosphorylating the C-terminal domain of RNA polymerase II. Lineage: Eukaryota; Metazoa; Chordata; Mammalia; Rodentia; Muridae. The record is from RNAcentral.